This 548-nucleotide ribosomal RNA is filed under the name uncultured bacterium. RNAcentral's name for it is "bacterial SSU rRNA". It matches the Rfam family "Bacterial small subunit ribosomal RNA", at positions 355 to 895 of the family's 1533-position model. The record is from RNAcentral.
UAGGGAAUCUUCGGCAAUGGACGGAAGUCUGACCGAGCAACGCCGCGUGAGUGAAGAAGGUUUUCGGAUCGUAAAGCUCUGUUGUAAGAGAAGAACGAGUGUGAGAGUGGAAAGUUCACACUGUGACGGUAUCUUACCAGAAAGGGACGGCUAACUACGUGCCAGCAGCCGCGGUAAUACGUAGGUCCCGAGCGUUGUCCGGAUUUAUUGGGCGUAAAGCGAGCGCAGGCGGUUAGAUAAGUCUGAAGUUAAAGGCUGUGGCUUAACCAUAGUACGCUUUGGAAACUGUUUAACUUGAGUGCAAGAGGGGAGAGUGGAAUUCCAUGUGUAGCGGUGAAAUGCGUAGAUAUAUGGAGGAACACCGGUGGCGAAAGCGGCUCUCUGGCUUGUAACUGACGCUGAGGCUCGAAAGCGUGGGGAGCAAACAGGAUUAGAUACCCUGGUAGUCCACGCCGUNNCGAUGAGUGCUAGGUGUUAGACCCUUUCCGGGGUUUAGUGCCGCAGCUAACGCAUUAAGCACUCCGCCUGGGGAGUACGUUCGCAAGAAU